UACGUAGGGACCGAGCGUUGUCCGGAUUCAUUGGGCGUAAAGAGCUCGUAGGCGGCCACUCAAGUCGAAUGUGAAACCUCGAGGCUUAACCUCGAGCCUGCAUUCGAUACUGGGCGGCUAGAGUCUGGUAGGGGGAUCUGGAAUUCCUGGUGUAGCGGUGAAAUGCGCAGAUAUCAGGAGGAACACCGAUGGCGAAGGCAGGUCUCUGGGCCACUACUGACGCUGAGAAGCGAAAGCAUGGGGAGCGAACAGG
This 253-nucleotide ribosomal RNA is filed under the name uncultured bacterium. RNAcentral's name for it is "partial 16S ribosomal RNA". It matches the Rfam family "Bacterial small subunit ribosomal RNA", at positions 524 to 776 of the family's 1533-position model. The record is from RNAcentral.